UGUAUCUUGUGUGGAAAGCGUGUAGAUGAUAAGAAUGUACAGCUCUUGUCCCACUUUAUUUCUCCAUUUACUGGAGGCAUUUAUGGAAGGUACAUUAUAGGUCUUUGUGGGAAGAAACAGAAAGAAAUCACAGAAGCAAUUAAGAGAGCUCAAAUAAUGGGAUUUAUGCCAGUUACAUACAAGGAUCUGCAUAUCUCAAGGACCCUAAAGUUUGUAAUAUCAG
Molecule: long non-coding RNA, 223 nt
Filed under: Homo sapiens (human)
Lineage: Eukaryota; Metazoa; Chordata; Mammalia; Primates; Hominidae
Description: non-protein coding lnc-RTL6-4:1
Source: RNAcentral